UACGUAGGUCCCGAGCGUUGUCCGGAUUUAUUGGGCGUGAAGCAAGCGCAGGUGGUUUAUUAAGUCUGGUGUAAAAGGCAGUGGCUCAACCAUUGUAUGCAUUGGAAACUGGUAGACUUGAGUGCAGGAGAGGAGAGUGGAGUUCCAUGUGUAGCGGUGAAAUGCGUAGAUAUAUGGAGGAACACCGGUGGCGAAAGCGGCUCUCUGGCCUGUAACUGACACUGAGGCUCGAAAGCGUGGGGAGCAAACAGG
This 252-nucleotide ribosomal RNA is filed under the name uncultured bacterium. RNAcentral describes it as "partial 16S ribosomal RNA". It matches the Rfam family "Bacterial small subunit ribosomal RNA", at positions 524 to 776 of the family's 1533-position model. The record is from RNAcentral.